This 416-nucleotide ribosomal RNA is filed under the name bacterium enrichment culture clone ALO1_GLFRUDD03G1Y4B. RNAcentral describes it as "bacterial SSU rRNA". It matches the Rfam family "Bacterial small subunit ribosomal RNA", at positions 9 to 429 of the family's 1533-position model. The record is from RNAcentral.
GAGUUUGAUCAUGGCUCAGAUUGAACGCUGGCGGCAUGCCUUACACAUGCAAGUCGAACGGCAGCACGGGAGCUUGCUCCUGGUGGCGAGUGGCGAACGGGUGAGUAAUGCAUCGGAACGUAUCCUGGAGUGGGGGAUAACGUAGCGAAAGUUACGCUAAUACCGCAUAUUCUGUGAGCAGGAAAGCGGGGGACCUUCGGGCCUCGCGCUCUUGGAGCGGCCGAUGUCGGAUUAGCUAGUUGGUGAGGUAAAGGCUCACCAAGGCGACGAUCCGUAGCAGGUCUGAGAGGAUGAUCUGCCACACUGGAACUGAGACACGGUCCAGACUCCUACGGGAGGCAGCAGUGGGAAUUUUGGACAAUGGGGGCAACCCUGAUCCAGCCAUGCCGCGUGAGUGAAGAAGGCCUCGGUGUAAG